Molecule: small nucleolar RNA, 77 nt
Organism: Artibeus jamaicensis (Jamaican fruit-eating bat)
Lineage: Eukaryota; Metazoa; Chordata; Mammalia; Chiroptera; Phyllostomidae
Product: small nucleolar RNA SNORD56
Exons: 1
Source: RefSeq, a predicted model, not a curated record
UUACUCUGAUCUCAAAUAAAAGUUGCUGUCCCAUCAGCAGUUCACCUAAUGAGUGUUGAGACUUUGGGUCUGAGUGA